This 216-nucleotide ribosomal RNA is filed under the name uncultured microorganism. RNAcentral describes it as "partial 16S ribosomal RNA". It matches the Rfam family "Bacterial small subunit ribosomal RNA", at positions 346 to 553 of the family's 1533-position model. The record is from RNAcentral.
GCGCAGCAGUCGAGAAUCUUUAGCAAUGCCCGAAAGGGUGACUAUGCGACGCCGCGUGAGCGAUGAAGUCCUUCGGGACGUAAAGCUCUGUCAGGUGGGAUGAAUUUUUCGACCUUAACAGGGUUGGAAUUUGACCGUACCACCAGAGGAAGCCACGGCUAACUCCGUGCCAGCAGCCGCGGUAAAUACGGAGGUGGCAAGCGUUGUUCGGAUUUA